AAUAACAUCUGUGAAGCAGGAGUUAAGAUUGCAAAAGUUACAAUAUUUGGAAGAACCAGAGCAUAUUCUCCAGUAGUUAUUUUUAGAUUUGGAGGAUUGGAAUGAAUUUAUUGGUUUUACUAUGAUAUUGCGUUUUUUUUUAAAACAUUUUUUUUCUGUUUGUAAAAUAGCAAAAGAAAUAUUUUUUGUUACACUUAGUUGGUGACCAAGGCAGUU
Molecule: non-coding RNA, 216 nt
Organism: Cinara cedri
Lineage: Eukaryota; Metazoa; Arthropoda; Insecta; Hemiptera; Aphididae
Source: the annotation of a GenBank genome assembly